Non-coding RNA from Lactuca sativa (garden lettuce), 705 nucleotides. The record is from RefSeq and is a predicted model, not a curated record. Lineage: Eukaryota; Viridiplantae; Streptophyta; Magnoliopsida; Asterales; Asteraceae.
CCAACCAUGUCUUUACAUUCCUUUUCCUUGUCUGUAUUAUCAUCUUCACCUAUCACAUCAUGACUCAGUUGCAACUUCCUCUCUGCUCUCUGCAUGAUAACCUACAAGGGAGGGGUAUUCAUUCAAUUCAAAGUCAAACAAUGGGACCAAGUCAAAGGAGAGAGAGAGAAAGAGGGAUGGUAGUAUUGCAAAGCUCACAGUGUCAGCAGCUACAAGAUUUAACCCAACUCCCCCUGCUCUGGUGGAAAUCAUGAAGACAAAUGCAGAGUCGGAAUCAGCUUCGGAAUUGGAAUUUCCAAUUCCGGACUUUCGGCUAAAACUUCUUAUUGCAGCAAACCGCUCUUCAGCCCUAAUGGAUCCAUCAAGCCGCUCAUAAGGGUAUUUUCUCAACUCCAUGUAGUCCUGUAUUUCAAAAUUUUCCAAAAAAGUUAAAUGGAUAUACAUAAACAUGGCUGAGUAGCUGACAGCUGGCAGUUUUAUUUAUGCAAAAAGAAGGAAGUAAACCUGCAAUACAUCAAGUGUGUGUGUCAUCUGUGCGAACAGAAGAACACGGUGUCCAGAAGUAUGUAGCUUCUGAAGUAGCUGGUCUAAGACUACCAGUUUUCCACUUGCCUGAAAGAAAUCAAAAAAGAUUUUAAAUUUAUUACUAACAUUUUUGUAUGAUUUUAUAAAUAAAUAGAGAUAUGAUAUGUUUUUAUACCUGAA